Molecule: ribosomal RNA, 483 nt
Filed under: uncultured bacterium
Lineage: Bacteria
Description: bacterial SSU rRNA
Rfam family: Bacterial small subunit ribosomal RNA
Source: RNAcentral
GAGUUUGAACCUGGCUCAGGAUGAACGCUGGCGGCGUGCUUAACACAUGCAAGUCGAACGGACCUGUACUGAAACCUAGUGAUUUACAGGUUAGUGGCGGACGGGUGAGUAACGCGUGGAAAACCUGCCGUAUACUGGGGGAUAACACUUAGAAAUAGGUGCUAAUACCGCAUAAGCGCACAGACCCGCAUGGGACAGUGUGAAAAACUCCGGUGGUAUACGAUGGUUCCGCGUCUGAUUAGCUUGUUGGCGGGGUAACGGCCCACCAAGGCGACGAUCAGUAGCCGGCCUGAGAGGGUGAACGGCCACAUUGGGACUGAGACACGGCCCAGACUCCUACGGGAGGCAGCAGUGGGGAAUAUUGCACAAUGGGGGAAACCCUGAUGCAGCGACGCCGCGUGAGUGAAGAAGUAUCUCGGUACGUAAAGCUCUAUCAGCAGGGAAGAAAAAAAGUCUUUGGCUUUGGACGGUACCUGACUAAGA